UCGGGAAUUUUGGGCAAUGGGCGAAAGCCUGACCCAGCAACGCCGCGUGAGGGAUGAAGUAUUUCGGUAUGUAAACCUCGAAAGAAUGGGAAGAAUAAAUGACGGUACCAUUUAUAAGCUCCGGCUAACUACGUGCCAGCAGCCGCGGUAAUACGUAGGGAGCAAGCGUUUUUCGGAUUUACUGGGCGUAAAGGGCGCGUAGGCGGCGCGGUAAGUCACUUGUGAAAUCUCUGAGCUUAACUCAGAACGGCCAAGUGAUACUGCUGUGCUAGAGUGCGGAAGAGGCAACCGGAAUUCUUGGUGUAGCGGUGAAAUGCGUAGAUAUCAAGAGGAACACCUGAGGCGAAGGCGGGUUGCUGGGCCGACACUGACGCUGAUGCGCGAAAGCCAGGGGAGCAAACG
RNAcentral lists this ribosomal RNA (402 nucleotides) under uncultured bacterium. Its description in RNAcentral is "bacterial SSU rRNA". It matches the Rfam family "Bacterial small subunit ribosomal RNA", at positions 355 to 774 of the family's 1533-position model. The record is from RNAcentral.